This 250-nucleotide ribosomal RNA is filed under the name uncultured prokaryote. RNAcentral's name for it is "partial 16S ribosomal RNA". It matches the Rfam family "Bacterial small subunit ribosomal RNA", at positions 524 to 773 of the family's 1533-position model. The record is from RNAcentral.
UACGUAGGUGGCGAGCGUUGUUCGGAUUUAUUGGGCGUAAAGGGUCUGUAGGAGGUUUGCUAAAUACGGGGUGAAAUCCGGGAGCUCAACUCCCGAAUUGCCUUGUAGACUGGCAGACUGGAGUACUGGAGAGGUAAGCGGAAUACCAGGUGUAGCGGUGGAAUGCGUAGAUAUCUGGUAGAACACCGAAGGCGAAGGCAGCUUGCUGGACAGUUACUGACUCUGAGAGACGAAAGCGUGGGGAGCAAAC